UGUAAAUGAAAAUGUGCACGUGAGUGGGCAAGGUACGGUAUGUGAAAUGAUAAUAUGAAGUGCAUGUGUGCAAGUGAUGAUAAGAGUGUUCGUGUGCAAGUGAAGAAACAUAAAGGUGCACGUGUGCAAAAUGGGAGGAAAAAUGAAAGUGUGAUGAGGGUAUAAAAUGGUAGAGUGGAUUUAAAAAUGCAUGAGCCUAGGGAAUUCAUGCAUAUUGGGUACGGGGAGACCUAAAUCGUGACUCAAUUUGCCCUUUUAUAGAGGGAAUACAAGCGUGCUAAGGCUUAGAAAAAGCCACACUCGUCUAUAUCCCAUAUUUAAGGGGACUCUCAAGCAAAUGAACCCUAUAACUAGC
RNAcentral lists this long non-coding RNA (355 nucleotides) under Coffea arabica (coffee). Its description in RNAcentral is "long non-coding RNA (CARA_LNC003756)". Lineage: Eukaryota; Viridiplantae; Streptophyta; Magnoliopsida; Gentianales; Rubiaceae. The record is from RNAcentral.